Long non-coding RNA from Teleopsis dalmanni, 1744 nucleotides. RefSeq lists it as uncharacterized. Lineage: Eukaryota; Metazoa; Arthropoda; Insecta; Diptera; Diopsidae. The record is from RefSeq and is a predicted model, not a curated record. The transcript is spliced from 4 exons.
UAAAGUUGUUUAGUUUUAGUUUUAGUUCAAAUGAAUGAUUUUCUAUAAAAACAAAAUUAAAUAAAAUAUGCAGUGGAAUGGCUGAAAACUUUGCCGAUCAAUUCGGACUUAAAUAUGGCAGGAUGUGUUUUUUUAUUUUAAGUCUAUAUUUAUAAAAUAUAUUUUAAACGUUAUUAACACAACGGUUAUAAAAAUUGACAUCCAAUUGGAUAAUAUAUCUGUUAUGAGAUUUGCUAAUUACAUCAUGGAAGGGUAUCGUGUAUUUGGCAAAUAUUUACAGGAGUUCGUUGUUGUUCAUAUGUGAAAAUGAUCAUUGCAAAGUACCGACAUCAUUUAGAAUGUCUUCCAAAACACUGAUGAAGUAAACAUGUGACGUACAAUAAAACUGAAACUUAAAUUAAUGCAAAAUAUUGAAAUGAACACAAGAGUUUCAACAAACUAAAAAUGUAGUGCACUGCAAAACGUACGUUAUUUGACUCCAUAUUAAAAUUUAAGCACUAGAAAAAGUUUGAUAGAUUCUUUUUCAAUUGGAGUGAUUGUCGUCUAUGAUUAAUUUCUGUAUCUCUUCUCUUAAUGAUUACUGGAACUGCAAGCUGAACUUCAACAACUGCAUCGUCAUGUAGAAGAAUAAAUUAAAUUAAAAUCUAAUAUGUACACAGUUUAUUAUUUUCAAUCGGAAAACUAUGAAAAUGUAUUGAGAGUAGGUAUGUUAACUGCCACACUUCAGAUUAUUCAAAUGCUUUAUUGAAAAUCUAACUAAUAAGUGUUCAACUGAUAAAAACUUAUUACGGAUUACUUAAGAUUUUAUUAUAUCAGUCGGCAUUUUAUUUUGAAUUUUGGACAAGAAACGAAACAGAAAUAGUUAAGUUAACGUUUUCAUAAUAGAGUCGACUAAGUUUAUGUUCUAACACUCGAUAUUGACGACUACACCGUUUCACCGUUCAAAAGAGGGCGGAAUCAAAAAUGUUCCAGAUCGAUGACGGGAAAGAAGAAAAAUAAAAAAAAAUUUUUUGUUUAAUAACAAAACAGCAAAACAACAACCGCAGAGAACAAUUUUCACCAAGGAAAAAGUUAUACCCAAACAAAUAACUUCAAUUGAUACCUACAAAUUAAUUUUAUAAUUAAAUUUAUAAAAACUCAUUAAGUUAUACGAAGUGGAAAUAAUAUAUUGCAAUAGUAAUUUGAAAAAAAAAAGGUGCAUACCUGAUGUCUAGAUAACACUGCCGAGUUGAAAGUCUGAAAGAUUAAGGACCACAUGCUACGUCCGUUACUUGUGAUAACGAUAAUGAAGUACAAUAUUUACAUCUUUCUACUCUUUUGAAGCUGGCCCAAACCUACAAGAAUUUUUUCAUAACAUACUAUAUGGAUGCGAAAAUUAGAAGUAUACCGAAUCCGUGUAGUAUAUUGAUCCAAGUAUUUUAAAGUUUUUAAAAACAUGGUCGCUAACAUUUACCUGGGGUGAAGCGCAAAAAUAUAUAAAAACCAAAGUUUGUAGGUGCAAAAUGACCAAAUGAGCUAUCAAACGGUUAGCUCUCCGACCUAACAACUUAUAAAAAGGUUGAAAAAAAAAGUUUCUUCUUGUUUCUUCUUUUCUUCUUGUGUACUUUAGCUACGAAUAGUAGACGAUUUACAAGAAAUAUUAAAACUCUAUCUUUUUCUAUGACAAAAAGACUUUUACUAUGCAAGAAAGAACAAGAUGAGUUUAGAAAGAUUUAUUUGAAGCGUUUCAAACAUUUUUAUUACA